RNAcentral lists this ribosomal RNA (301 nucleotides) under uncultured bacterium. RNAcentral describes it as "partial 16S ribosomal RNA". It matches the Rfam family "Bacterial small subunit ribosomal RNA", at positions 509 to 809 of the family's 1533-position model. The record is from RNAcentral.
CAGUAGCCGCGGUAAUACGUAGGGCGCAAGCGUUAUCCGGAAUUAUUGGGCGUAAAGAGCUCGUAGGCGGUUUGUCGCGUCUGCCGUGAAAGUCCGGGGCUCAACCCCGGAUCUGCGGUGGGUACGGGCAGACUAGAGUGAUGUAGGGGAGACUGGAAUUCCUGGUGUAGCGGUGAAAUGCGCAGAUAUCAGGAGGAACACCGAUGGCGAAGGCAGGUCUCUGGGCAUUAACUGACGCUGAGGAGCGAAAGCAUGGGGAGCGAACAGGAUUAGAUACCCCCGUAGUCCCUGUCUCUUAUAA